RNAcentral lists this ribosomal RNA (423 nucleotides) under Verrucomicrobiota bacterium. RNAcentral describes it as "Verrucomicrobia bacterium partial 16S ribosomal RNA". It matches the Rfam family "Bacterial small subunit ribosomal RNA", at positions 355 to 776 of the family's 1533-position model. The record is from RNAcentral. Lineage: Bacteria; Pseudomonadati; Verrucomicrobiota.
UGAGGAAUAUUGGUCAAUGGACGCAAGUCUGAACCAGCCAAGUAGCGUGCAGGAUGACGGCCCUAUGGGUUGUAAACUGCUUUUAUAUGGGGAUAAAGUGGGGAACGUGUUCCCUUUUUCAGGUACCAUAUGAAUAAGGACCGGCUAAUUCCGUGCCAGCAGCCGCGGUAAUACGGAAGGUUCGGGCGUUAUCCGGAUUUAUUGGGUUUAAAGGGUGCGCAGGCUGUGCAUCAAGUCAGCGGUAAAAUCUCGGGGCUCAACCCCGUUUAGCCGUUGAAACUGGUGUGCUGGAGUGUGCGCGAGGAAGGCGGAAUGCGCGGUGUAGCGGUGAAAUGCAUAGAUAUUGCGCAGAACUCCGAUUGCGAAGGCAGCCUUCCAGUGCAUGACUGACGCUGAGGCACGAAAGCGUGGGUAUCGAACAGG